Molecule: long non-coding RNA, 1878 nt
Filed under: Daucus carota (carrot)
Lineage: Eukaryota; Viridiplantae; Streptophyta; Magnoliopsida; Apiales; Apiaceae
Description: long non-coding RNA (DCAR_LNC002382)
Source: RNAcentral
CGGGGAUGUCAUUCUACUAAACAAACCAAAAUAUAUCUUCAUAAUCUCAACUUAACAUUUCAGCAUAAGUUAAAGGUACAUUUAACCUUACAUCAAAAGUCUUACAUCAUACGCCUCUAAAAGUUCAGGUUUAUCACAAAAUACAUAUUUAAAACACUUCUCCCGAUUACAUAUACUUCUACUAAAGUUUUAUUGCUAAUCCAACCAGGUCUAGCACUUCAGUUCACCACAUUUUUACCCUUGCCGGAAUAACCUUCUCCGGAAUCCUUUCCUGUAGAGUUAGUACAUGAAAAGAAAAGAUGAGCUCAUAAAGCUCAGCAAGCAUAUAUUGUACGAUUCAACUGAGUUUUAUUCACAAAACUUUAAUAGAUCAAAUCAAUAAUUCAACAGAGUCAUCAAAACAGUUUCACACAUUGAUAUGAGUAUGAGUAUUCAAACAUGUUCACAAGUUCACACGUUCUACUGUUGGGGAUCCCGGCCAGCUAAACAAUUGGUUUAGCUUUCCUUCCCGAAGGAGUAUCACACUACUUCACAAAGGAAGCAUCGCUCUAGUUCCAACAAAGAGACCCUUUCUCUAAUUUGAGGUUUCAGUCCCUCCUGAAAUCUCUGACAUUUCCUAGCUUCAGUAUUAACCUGAUGAGGGGAAAACCUAGAAAGCUCCAAAAACUUCGACAAAUAUUCUGACACAGACAUUCCUUCUUGCUUCAAUCCUAAAAACUUCAUCUCCAUCUCAUUUUUCAUACACGCAGGAAAAUAUUUAUCAAAGAACAACUCCUUAAACCUCAUCCAAGUCAUUGUUGAACAAUCUUCCGUCUGUUUAACAGUGUCCCACCAAAAUACAGCUUCCCCCCUUAAAGAGUGUGUUGCGAAUUUCACCUUUUGUUCAUCCAAGCAUUCAGAAAUUUCUAUCACUUUCUCCAUUUCCUUUAUCCAUGUAUUCGCAACAUGUGGAUCUAAAUCUCCUUUAAAUACCGGGGGAUCAGCAUCCUUAAAGGUCUUAUAAGUACACCUUCGUUUAUUCUCACCUUCUCGCUCCGGAUUAUUUAUACGAUCUUGUUCUUCCAAACGAUCAGUAUUCACCUUAAUUGUAUUUGUAUUUUCUUGCUCUCCCCUAAUAGUCUUCAACAUAUUCCUCAUUUCCUCCAAAACCAACAUCAUCUCAGGACUAAUUUGAAUGCUAGGUCCAGCGCCACUACUAUUUUCUUCAUUCAUCGUCACCUAAAAAUCAUAUAAUAUAUAUUAGAAUUCUAUUCUAAUCCACAAAUCAUACUAGAACUAUAGUUGUACUACACACAUAGUUCAUGCCACAAAUUCACAACUAAGGUCCACAUAUCCCUUAAACCUAUUCUUCAAACUUAAUAUCACACUAGUCUAGAAUCUUAAUCCUACUUUCGCCGAUACUCGAACCUAUAGCUCUGAUACCACCUGUGACGCCCCUGGCCCGGGAUGACCUCGGCAACCCGACCCGGGGAUGUCAUUCUACUAAACAAACCAAAAUAUAUCUUCAUAAUCUCAACUUAACAUUUCAGCAUAAGUUAAAGGUACAUUUAACCUUACAUCAAAAGUCUUACAUCAUACGCCUCUAAAAGUUCAGGUUUAUCACAAAAUACAUAUUUAAAACACUUCUCCCGAUUACAUAUACUACUACUAAAGUUUUAUUGCUAAUCCAACCAGGUCUAGCACUUCAGUUCACCACAUUUUUACCCUUGCUGGAAUAACCUUCUCCGGAAUCCUUUCCUGUAGAGUUAGUACAUGAAAAGAAAAGAUGAGCUCAUAAAGCUCAGCAAGCAUAUAUUGUACGAAUCAACUGAGUUUUAUUCACAAAGCUUUAAUUGAUAAAAUCAAUAAUUCCACAGAGUCAUCAAAACAGUUUCACAC